UGGUACACUUUGUGAAUCUUGUUCUGC
This 27-nucleotide non-coding RNA is filed under the name Mus musculus (house mouse). The record is from RNAcentral. Lineage: Eukaryota; Metazoa; Chordata; Mammalia; Rodentia; Muridae.